This 253-nucleotide ribosomal RNA is filed under the name uncultured bacterium. Its description in RNAcentral is "partial 16S ribosomal RNA". It matches the Rfam family "Bacterial small subunit ribosomal RNA", at positions 524 to 776 of the family's 1533-position model. The record is from RNAcentral.
UACGGGGGGGGCAAGCGUUGUUCGGAAUUACUGGGCGUAAAGGGUUCGUAGGUGGCUUGUUAAGUCAGACGUGAAAUCCCUCGGCUCAACCGGGGAACUGCGUCUGAGACUGAUGAGCUCGAGUGCAGGAGAGGAACGCGGAAUUCCAGGUGUAGCGGUGAAAUGCGUAGAUAUCGGGAGGAACACCUGUGGCGAAGGCGGCCCCCUGGUCGGAUACUGACGCUGAGACGCGAAAGCGUGGGGAGCAAACAGG